UACGGAGGGUGCGAGCGUUGUUCGGAAUUAUUGGGCGUAAAGAGCGUGUAGGCGGCCAGGUAAGUCAGAUGUGAAAGCCCUUGGCUUAACCAAGGAAGGGCAUUUGAAACUACCUGGCUUGAGUACGGGAGGGGGAAGUGGAAUUCCUGGUGUAGAGGUGAAAUUCGUAGAUAUCAGGAGGAACACCGGUGGCGAAGGCGGCUUCCUGGACCGAUACUGACGCUGAGACGCGAAAGCGUGGGGAG
Molecule: ribosomal RNA, 245 nt
Filed under: uncultured bacterium
Lineage: Bacteria
Description: partial 16S ribosomal RNA
Rfam family: Bacterial small subunit ribosomal RNA
Source: RNAcentral